AAGUUUUUAUGAAAAGAGUGUUUAAGUUACAUGGAAUGCCAAACACAAUUACAUCUUAUCGUGACCCAGUUUUUUAAGCAAUUUCUGGAAAGAUCUGUUUGCAUUUCAAGGGGUGGGACUACAGCCUAUCAUCCACAAACUGAUGGGCAAAGUGAGGUGGUAAAUAGAUGUCUUGAAACCUAUUUACGGUGUGCAGUGGGUGAUUCCCUAGCCAAUGGGUAGAUUGGCUCAGUUUAGCAGAAUUUUGGUACAAUACUAGCUUUCAUUCAGCUAUACAAACAACUCCAUUUGAGGCCCUUUAUGGUGUACCACCACCCCUCUAUGUCCCUUAUGUGCAUGGAGAUUCUCAUGUGGAAGCUGUUGAUCUUUAUAUUCGCAAUAGAGAAACUGCCAUUGCCCUACUCCAGCAUCAUCUCCAACAAGCUAUGAACAGGAUGAAGCAACAGGUGGACAAACAUCGCACUGAUCGUGAGUUUGAUGUGGGGGAUAUGGUUUUCCUUAAGUUACAACCUUAUGCCCAAUAGUCAAUUGCUCAUUGUUCUUCCAAAUUCUAAGCUAAAUAUUAUGGUCCCUACCAAAUUAUUGAGCGUAUUGGGCAGUCUGCUUAUAGGCUUCGUCUUCCAUCUGAUGCUAUUAUCCAUAAUGUUUUCCAUGUCUCUCUUUUGAAACCUGCCUAUGCUUCCAUUACAGCUUCAUCAGAGCUUCCUCCAAUGUCUCGUCAAUCCGUCAUACAGCCACAAGCUAUUCUUGAUCGACGAAUAGUGAAGCGUAAGAAUGCCACUGCAACUCAACUACUUGUCCAUUGGCAAGGUUAUUCACCAGCAGAUGCAACCUGGGAGUUUGCUGAUGACUUCCAAUUGCAUUAUCCAUUUUUUUUCCUUACGGACAAGGAACCUUGGGGAAGGGAGUAUUGUUACAAAUUGUAAUGGAAACAGUGCGUUUGAAGGAGGCCGGAAUCAAUAACAGUAACAGAUGAUAUGUUUUUGCGUUAGAGCAGGACAGUUAUGUGGCGGGAAUAGAAAUUGUU
RNAcentral lists this unclassified non-coding RNA (1027 nucleotides) under Hevea brasiliensis (rubber tree). The record is from RNAcentral. Lineage: Eukaryota; Viridiplantae; Streptophyta; Magnoliopsida; Malpighiales; Euphorbiaceae.